This 429-nucleotide ribosomal RNA is filed under the name bacterium. Its description in RNAcentral is "partial 16S ribosomal RNA". It matches the Rfam family "Bacterial small subunit ribosomal RNA", at positions 355 to 776 of the family's 1533-position model. The record is from RNAcentral.
UAGGGAAUCUUCGGCAAUGGGGGCAACCCUGACCGAGCAACGCCGCGUGAGUGAAGAAGGUUUUCGGAUCGUAAAGCUCUGUUGUAAGAGAAGAACGUGUGUGAGAGUGGAAAGUUCACACAGUGACGGUAACUUACCAGAAAGGGACGGCUAACUACGUGCCAGCAGCCGCGGUAAUACGUAGGUCCCGAGCGUUGUCCGGAUUUAUUGGGCGUAAAGCGAGCGCAGGCGGUUUAAUAAGUCUGAAGUUAAAGGCAGUGGCUUAACCAUUGUUCGCUUUGGAAACUGUUAAACGUGAGUGCAGAAGGUGGGAGUGGAAUUCCAUGUGUAGCGGUGAAAUGCGUAGAUAUAUGGAGGAACACCGGUGGCGAAAGCGGCUCUCUGGUCUGUAACUGACGCUGAGGCUCGAAAGCGUGGGAAGCAAGCAGG